RNAcentral lists this ribosomal RNA (459 nucleotides) under uncultured bacterium. RNAcentral's name for it is "partial 16S ribosomal RNA". It matches the Rfam family "Bacterial small subunit ribosomal RNA", at positions 28 to 523 of the family's 1533-position model. The record is from RNAcentral.
GUUGAACGCUGGCGGCGUGCCUAAUACAUGCAAGUCGAGCGGAAAGGCCUCUUCGGAGGUACUCGAGCGGCGGACGGCUGAGUAACACGUAGGAACAUACCCCAAAGUGAGGGAUAAGCACCGGAAACGGUGUCUAAUACCGCAUGUGCUCUAAGGAGUAAAGCUUCGGCGCUUUGGGAAUGGCCUGCGCAUGAUUAGCUUGUUGGUGUGGUAAUGGCUCACCAAGGCGACGAUCAUUAGCUGGUCUGAGAGGAUGAUCAGCCAGACUGGGACUGAGACACGGCCCAGACUCCUACGGGAGGCAGCAGUAGGGAAUUUUCCACAAUGGGCGAAAGCCUGAUGGAGCAACGCCGCGUGCAGGAUGAAUGCCUUAGGGUUGUAAACUGCUUUUAUAUGUGACGAAUAUGACGGUAGCAUAUGAAUAAGGAUCGGCUAACUCCGUGCCAGCAGCCGCCGUAA